UGUCCUUGGAUAAAAGUGAAAAAUUGGAUCAAGCCAAAUACAUCCUUACAAUUUUUGCUCACCAGGUUAAGCUUACACAGACUUUGGACUGGGAAAACAUUUUGUAUUGGUACAGUGAAACCAUCACAGGACAUACCAGGAGUUGCCAGGAAACAGCAGGUUUACAGGCUGCUGUUGCAGGUUAUUGGGAAAGAGCUGAGCCUGCUAAAUAUUUGAUAUUUACCAAGCUGUGAUGCUGAAAUACCAGAGGCAUCUGAAGAAUCCAGCCCAGUUCUCACCCCUCUCAUGCCCCAGCACAGGGCUGACAGACAUGUAGAUGCUCUGCUUCCAUCCCUAGGUGCAAUCUGUUGGCCAUGGGGCCAUGUGUGUGUGACCAAGGGGCUUUGAUACACAUGGAUUCUGCUCAUCCAGACUCACAUCCUAUGGAUUUCUCCUCUAUAGCAUGCCCACCUCACCUCUCCUUCAUGACCCACAGCCACAUCCCUGCCCUGUGCUCUUCCUGACCUAAGCCUUUCCUGAGGCCGCUCCCUAGUGCCCCACCACUUCCUCAACUUUUGCUGGCUCAGGGCAUUGUCUUAUCAGUCUGGGAUAUUUUUAUCAGUCUGUGCUGUGCAGUAAAGUCUGGGCUCACCUCUGCUCUCCUGGAGUGGUGUGCCUGGCUGGCCAGGGCUGGGACCGCUGUGCUCUGCGAGUGAGCACCAAAGAGAUGCCUUGUCUUGCCUCCUCUCAGCUUUGAGGACAGAGAUAAAGCAGCAGUGGAGAAACAAGGUGAGAUAAAUGCAGGAGGGACAAAACUCAGUGAGGUGAAGUGAGGUAGAUCCUGUAAUGCAUUUGGUGAGCCUUCAAAUCCUAUCUCUUAUCCCAGGGAUAUCCCAGAUGCAUAAGCCCUGCAAACUACAUCAUCAGCAUCUUCCUCUG
This is a long non-coding RNA of Ficedula albicollis (Collared flycatcher), 918 nucleotides long. RefSeq lists it as uncharacterized. The record is from RefSeq and is a predicted model, not a curated record. Lineage: Eukaryota; Metazoa; Chordata; Aves; Passeriformes; Muscicapidae. The transcript is spliced from 3 exons.